This 265-nucleotide ribosomal RNA is filed under the name uncultured Staphylococcus sp. RNAcentral's name for it is "partial 16S ribosomal RNA". It matches the Rfam family "Bacterial small subunit ribosomal RNA", at positions 99 to 355 of the family's 1533-position model. Lineage: Bacteria; Bacillati; Bacillota; Bacilli; Caryophanales; Staphylococcaceae. The record is from RNAcentral.
CGGACGGGUGGAGUAACACGUGGGUAACCGUACCUAUAAGACUGUGACAACUUCGGGAAACCGGAGCUAAUACCGGAUAAGAUAUCGAACCGCAUGGCUCGAUAGUGAAAGAUGGUUUUGCUAUCACUUAUAGAUGGACCCGCGCCGUAUUAGCUAGUUGGUGAGGUAACGGCUCACCAAGGCAACGAUACGUAGCCGACCUGAGAGGGUGAUCGGCCACACUGGAACUGAGACACGGUCCAGACUCCUACGGGAGGCAGCAGCA